This 483-nucleotide ribosomal RNA is filed under the name uncultured bacterium. RNAcentral describes it as "bacterial SSU rRNA". It matches the Rfam family "Bacterial small subunit ribosomal RNA", at positions 28 to 507 of the family's 1533-position model. The record is from RNAcentral.
GAUGAACGCUAGCGGCAGGCCUAAUACAUGCAAGUCGAACGGAUAUAUGUUUUUCGGAAUAUAUAUUAGUGGCGCACGGGUGAGUAACACGUACAUAACUUGCCCUCAAGCGGGGGAUAGCCUUGGGAAACUGAGAGUAAUACCCCAUAGAAUUAUUGGACGGCAUCGUUUGAUAAUUAAAACUACGGUGCUUGGGGAUAGAUGUGCGUCUGAUUAGCUAGUUGGUGAGGUAACUGCUCACCAAGGCGACGAUCAGUAGGGGGCGUGAGAGCGUGGCCCCCCACACGGGUACUGAGACACGGACCCGACUCCUACGGGAGGCAGCAGUAAGGAAUAUUGGUCAAUGGAGGGAACUCUGAACCAGCCAUGCCGCGUGAAGGAUGACGGCCCUCUGGGUUGUAAACUUCUUUUUGGAUGGGGCGAAAAAACGGGAUUUAUCCUGGACUGACGGUACCAUCAGAAUAAGCACCGGCUAACUCCGUG